GCUACUCUUUUGAAUGUUGAGGUUUUUGGGUAUCUGAAAGAAAAUGGUGUGCUUCAUCCAUUAGCAAAUUUGCAAGAGGAAGCAAAUGUCUUCAAACACGAAGGACAGCUCUGUGGGUGACAUUAAAAGCGAGCAUCAGGAUCCAGUGCUGCAAACUAUUGUGUUUCCGAAGCUGCCGGACUAGAUGUUUGUUGGCUUCAGUGCACAGGGCAGCUACUCUUUUGAAUGUUGAGGUUUUUGGGUACCUGAAAGAAAAUGGUGUGCUUCAUCCAUUAGCAAAUUUGCAAGAGGAAGCAAAUGUCUUCAAACACGAAGGACAGCUCUGUGGGUGACAUUAAAAGCGAGCAUCAGGAUCCAGUGCUGCAAACUAUUGUGUUUCCGAAGCUGCCGGACUAGAUGUUUGUUGGCUUCAGUGCACAGGGUCCUCAAGUUAUCCACAGGAUUACAAUGGGAUAUGAUGGAGCGACAGCGGAUUGGCACCAAACGAUCACAAGUUUCAGACCUCUCAGGAUGCAACGGGCUCGUCCAUAUAACCCCUCCCACUGGCUUAGGCAAAUCAGUUUUUUGUUUGAUAACUACACAAGAACAAGGAAUGUAUGAAGAACAAACACUUCAUUUUUGUUUUAUUACAAUUUAUUUUUUCGGAACAAUACAAAAUACAACGGUUUAAUUUCCUUCAAUAAAAUUUUAAAUUUA
Pseudophryne corroboree (corroboree frog) is the source of this 696-nucleotide long non-coding RNA. RefSeq lists it as uncharacterized. NCBI's taxonomy places the organism in Eukaryota, Metazoa, Chordata, Amphibia, Anura, Myobatrachidae. The record is from RefSeq and is a predicted model, not a curated record. The transcript is spliced from 4 exons.